This 160-nucleotide ribosomal RNA is filed under the name uncultured bacterium. Its description in RNAcentral is "partial 16S ribosomal RNA". The record is from RNAcentral.
CACGGAGUUAGCCGGUGCUUCUUCUGCGGGUAACGUCAAUCGACACGGCUAUUAACCGCAUCGCCUUCCUCCCCGCUGAAAGUACUUUACAACCCGAAGGCCUUCUUCAUACACGCGGCAUGGCUGCAUCAGGCUUGCGCCCAUUGUGCAAUAUUCCCCA